Homo sapiens (human) is the source of this 1965-nucleotide long non-coding RNA. The record is from Ensembl. Lineage: Eukaryota; Metazoa; Chordata; Mammalia; Primates; Hominidae.
GCUCCCACCAGAGCUUGGAAUCCGUCUCUGCUCUUCUGCAUUCUCCACCUCGGGAGCCCCUGGGGACUCUGUGACGGCCUCUGUUGCCCUGUGAUCUGCAGGUCCGGAGAGACGCACAGCUAAGAUGUCAGGACAUCCUGGAAGCUGGGAAAGGGUCUUGCCAUCUCUAAGCUGGACCUGGUGACCUUUUUGGAGGGAAAGAAAGAGCCCUGGACUGUGAAGAGUGAGGAGACCAUAGCUGCACAGCCAGAGAUGGGGUUCCAUCAUGUUUUCCAGGCUGAUCUCAAACUCCCACGGUCAAGCGAUCUGCUGGCCUCGGCCUCUCAAGUCCAGAUGUAUAAUCUCAUCCCUGAACAUUUCUGAUGGUGUGAUUAUGACAUGUGACUUUAUCUGGCAACAGAGUGAGUUGUUGCUCCCGCCUGAGCCCAGCCCCCAGAAAGGAUUGUGACAUAUCGUUGGACCCAGAAUUGAGGUGCAGUUUUGACACACUUCUGUCUAGCAGCUGAGUAUUGUGAUCUUCAGAACUGGCCCAGCCUACAAAUAGGAUUGUGCCACACUGCUGGACCCAGCACCUAGAUGAUGUAACUAUUCUCCUGCCUUGGUGCUACUCAAAAAAGACAUUAACAUAUCUCAGAGCCUUGCACCCAGAAGGCAUUGAGACAUGGCUGGGCUCAGCACUAAGAAGAUGUGAGUCCUCUGCCUGAAGCCUGACCACAGGGAGCAUUGUGACACAUUUCUUGACCCAUUACAAUCUCUUCUACGGGCAAAGCUGAGGUGGAAUUGUGACAUAUAACUUGGCCAAGCACACAGAUGUAAUGGUGUGGUGACUCUCAUACCUAGAACUGGGACCUGUGCAGGAUUGUUAAUUCAUUACUGGACAUUCCUGUGGGUGUGAUUGUUACAUAUGCCUAUGUUCAGCACCCGAGUGAUUUGAUUUUGCUGCCUGGUCUCAGUCCAAAUGUAAGAUUGUGAUUUAUCGCUGAAUCCAGCACCUCGGUGAUUUGACUCUCCCUUUUUUUGUGGGAGGGAUCCUGCAAAUUUUGGGUAUUGUCAAUUAUUGCUGAAUCCUGUACCCAUGUUAUGACUCUCCCAAAUGUGCCUUACCUGUUGUGGCACAAUAUAUCACAUUAGACAUUGUUAAAUAUUGUUGGGUUCAACACCUGGGUGAUGGAUGUAACUUUUUUUCUGGGCCUGCCUACAGGGGACCUUGUGACAUAACUCAAUGCCCAUCAUCAUGGUAAUGUUACUCUCUUCUCCUGCCUGAUCUCUGCUCACAGAGAAAUUGUGACACAUCACUGGCCUAGCAUCUAGGUGAUGUGACUCUCCUCUUUUUUUCAGGCUCUGCAUAUUUGGGUAUUGUGACAUAUUGCUGAACUCAACACCUAAGGGAUGGGAGUCUCCUACCUAGGCCCUUCCUACAGGGGACAUUGUGACAUGUCUCUGCAUUCCUCAUCCAGGAGAUGUGACUCUCCUUUUCUGCCUACACCCUGCCUACACAGAAAGUUGUGGCAUAUUGCUGUGGUCAGCAACCAGAUGAUAUAUUUCUCCUGCCUGGGUCUUUAUUACAGGAAAGAUGAUUGACAUAUUACUGGGCCCAGCAUCCAGAUGAUGUGACUCUCUUCUUCUGUUGGUCCUUGCUUACAGGGAAACUGUAGCAUAUUGCUACACCCAACACCUAGCUUAUGUGAUUCUUCUUUUAGGUUUGCCUUCAGGGAACAUUGUGACAUAUUGCUGGGCCCUGCACUGAUAAUUUGUGACUCUUCUGCCUGUGAUUUGCCCACUUGGGGCAUUGUGACAUAUUGCUGGGUUUAACACUCAGGUGAUGUAACUUUUAUGCCUAGGCCUUGCUUACAGGAGGCAUUUUGAAAUGUCUUUGUGGCUGGGCAUGGUGGCUCAUGUCUGUAAUCCCAGCGCUUGGGGAGGCCAAGGUGGGCAGAUCACAAAGUCAGGAGUUCGAGACCAGCC